GGAACCAUUUCAUCGUGUUCGGGUGACCUCGGUGUUCCAUUUUCCUAAUCUCAUCAACUCGUCAUACUUGGAUAAUCGGAAGACUUGGCAAUUACGUUGUUAGACAAGACGAUGAAGAAAUCAAGUUAGGAUGGACUUAGAUACUCAUUCAAUAAUAAACAAUGUUGUUGCAAUUUGUCUUUAUUUGAAACAAUGUAUUCAAAUUUUAGUCAUUAAUGAAAUUGGAUUUAAAUUAUA
Molecule: long non-coding RNA, 237 nt
Organism: Helianthus annuus (common sunflower)
Lineage: Eukaryota; Viridiplantae; Streptophyta; Magnoliopsida; Asterales; Asteraceae
Exons: 3
Source: RefSeq, a predicted model, not a curated record